UACGGAGGAUGCGAGCGUUAUCCGGAUUUAUUGGGUUUAAAGGGAGCGUAGACGGAGGAUUAAGUCAGUUGUGAAAGUUUGCGGCUCAACCGUAAAAUUGCAGUUGAUACUGGUUCCCUUGAGUGCAGUUGAGGCAGGCGGAAUUCGUGGUGUAGCGGUGAAAUGCUUAGAUAUCACGAAGAACCCCGAUUGCGAAGGCAGCCUGCUAAGCUGUAACUGACGUUGAUGCUCGAAAGUGUGGGUAUCAAACAGG
Molecule: ribosomal RNA, 253 nt
Filed under: Phocaeicola coprocola DSM 17136
Lineage: Bacteria; Pseudomonadati; Bacteroidota; Bacteroidia; Bacteroidales; Bacteroidaceae
Description: partial 16S ribosomal RNA
Rfam family: Bacterial small subunit ribosomal RNA
Source: RNAcentral